This 386-nucleotide ribosomal RNA is filed under the name uncultured bacterium. Its description in RNAcentral is "bacterial SSU rRNA". It matches the Rfam family "Bacterial small subunit ribosomal RNA", at positions 29 to 418 of the family's 1533-position model. The record is from RNAcentral.
AUUGAACGCUGGCGGCAUGCCUUACACAUGCAAGUCGAACGGCAGCACGGGAGCAAUCCUGGUGGCGAGUGGCGAACGGGUGAGUAAUAUAUCGGAACGUGCCCAGUAGUGGGGGAUAGCCCGGCGAAAGCCGGAUUAAUACCGCAUACGACCUGUGGGUGAAAGCGGGGGAUCGCAAGACCUCGCGCUAUUGGAGCGGCCGAUAUCAGAUUAGCUUGUUGGUGGGUAAAAGCCCACCAAGGCGACGAUCUGUAGCUGGUCUGAGAGGGCGACCAGCCACACUGGGACUGAGACACGGCCCAGACUCCUACGGGAGCAGCAGUGGGGAAUUUUGGACAAUGGGCGCAAGCCUGAUCCAGCCAUGCCGCGUGUGGGAAGAAGGCCUU